CAAAGCACUUUUGAAGAGAGAGUUAAAGAGGACGUGAAACCGGUAAGGUGGAAACGGAUAGAGUCGGCGUAUCAUUCAAUUAUUCAGUUACAUUAUUUUUAUGUUGUGACCUCUGAGCUCCAGAUUGGGACAGAGGGAAUCAGCAUAAUUUUUUGUGGUGCAUUUACUUGAUUGGUGCUUGGGGAUGUUUGAGGCAGAUUUGUUUCCGUCGUUUUGAGGCCAGCUUGCUGGUACCCAAACGGUGUUAGCAUUUUUUGUCUUGGGCAUUUGAGUAUGGCUCACGUGUAUUUAUUGGACAGAUCUGAGUGUAAGUUACGGUCGCAUGCGACACGUGCUUUUCAAUUAGUUCGGUCCAGUUAAUGCUCUCGUACUCGUUCCCCAUGUAAAAGCCGGUCAUCUAUCCGACCCGUCUUGAAACACGGACCAAGGAGUUUAUCGUGUGCGCAAGUUUUUGGGUGUUAAAAACUUAAAAGCGAAAUGAAAGUAAAUGACUCUUUAGAGUCUGAUGUGCGAUCUUGUAAAAAAGUGUAGCAUGGCCCCAUUCUAACUGUUUACAGUAGGGUGGCGGAAGAGCGUACGCGGUGAGACCCGAAAGAUGGUGAACUAUUCCUGAGCAGGACGAAGCCAGAGGAAACUCUGGUGGAAGUCCGAAGCGGUUCUGACGUGCAAAUCGAUCGUCUGACUUGGGUA
This 690-nucleotide ribosomal RNA is filed under the name Meloidogyne sp. DHR-2019. RNAcentral describes it as "partial large subunit ribosomal RNA". It matches the Rfam family "Eukaryotic large subunit ribosomal RNA", at positions 367 to 917 of the family's 3401-position model. Lineage: Eukaryota; Metazoa; Nematoda; Chromadorea; Rhabditida; Meloidogynidae. The record is from RNAcentral.